RNAcentral lists this non-coding RNA (21 nucleotides) under Caenorhabditis elegans. The record is from RNAcentral. Lineage: Eukaryota; Metazoa; Nematoda; Chromadorea; Rhabditida; Rhabditidae.
UUGAGAUAAUUCAAAACUUAU